RNAcentral lists this ribosomal RNA (253 nucleotides) under uncultured bacterium. Its description in RNAcentral is "partial 16S ribosomal RNA". It matches the Rfam family "Bacterial small subunit ribosomal RNA", at positions 524 to 776 of the family's 1533-position model. The record is from RNAcentral.
UACGUAGGGGGCUAGCGUUGUCCGGAAUUAUUGGGCGUAAAGAGCGUGUAGGCGGCCAGAUAAGUCCGCUGUGAAAUCUCGAGGCUCAACUUCGAGCUGUCGGUGGAAACUAUCUGGCUAGAGUCCGGAAGAGGAGAAUGGAAUUCCUGGUGUAGCGGUGAAAUGCGCAGAUAUCAGGAAGAACACCCGUGGCGAAGGCGGUUCUCUGGGCCGAUACUGACGCUGAGGAGCGAAAGCGUGGGGAGCGAACAGG